UGGCAUUUGACAUAAGCAAUAUUUGUAGAUGAAAUUUAGAAUUGAUAUUUUGAAUAUAUGGUUGCUUUCUGGUAAUAGGUAAGAUUUGACAUCCUGAUCGUAUUGCUACCUAGCAUAGCUGAAGUGGAAGGUGGAUGUUUGGGUUGCAAUGUCAAGUAGGUAGAGUUGUGCUGCUUUCCUCUUGUAGUCUGUUUGUUUUAUUAUGAGGCAGUAAGUUGUAGUUGAAUCUUGCAGCACUUCACUGGCAAUAAGUUCAACAAAGUGUAUUGGAUCUUUUAAUAGUGCAUUUGGCGAUUGUGGUUAUUAAUUGGGUCAACUGAGUUGUUGAAGUUCUUCUUUGUUUUUUNNNNNUUAAGUGGCUGAAAUUCUUUGAUCUAUAUAAGUUCUUCCUCCUUUUUUUUUUUUUCCCCCUCCCUUGAUAUAGUCUUCCAUCACUUCCCGUCUGAUUUAUACAGGUCACAGCCAAGGCAGUCUAUUCGGC
This 481-nucleotide unclassified non-coding RNA is filed under the name Hevea brasiliensis (rubber tree). Lineage: Eukaryota; Viridiplantae; Streptophyta; Magnoliopsida; Malpighiales; Euphorbiaceae. The record is from RNAcentral.